AGUGAACGCUGGCGGCGUGCCUAAUACAUGCAAGUCGAACGAAGUGGCGCGCGGGUGAGUAAUAUAUAGUUAAUCUGCCCUACACAGAGGAACAACAGGUGGAAACGACUGCUAAUACCUCAUAGUGUAGGGUGAGACGAUAUCGUAUCAGAUAGUUGGUAAGGUACUGGCGUACCAAGGCUAUGACGCGUAACUGGGCUGAGAGGAUGAUCAGUAAAAUUCGAAGGGAGACACGGGUCAAAAACCUUCGGGAGGGAGCAGUAAGGUAUAUUGCGCAAGGGGCGAAACCCUGACGCGGCAUCGCCGCGUGGAGGAUGACACUUUUCGGAGCGUAAACUCCUUUUAUCAGGAAAGCGGUACCUGAUGAAUAAGCACCGGCUAACUCCGUGCCAGCCGCCGCGGUAAUUC
RNAcentral lists this ribosomal RNA (408 nucleotides) under uncultured bacterium. RNAcentral describes it as "partial 16S ribosomal RNA". It matches the Rfam family "Bacterial small subunit ribosomal RNA", at positions 29 to 526 of the family's 1533-position model. The record is from RNAcentral.